AUGAAUACCUAUGCAUGCUUCAUAUUUCUACUGGCCAUUGGUCUUUCUGCUCAGAUUUCAGAGUUCGAUAUAGACUUCAAAACAAUGGUGAAUACAGUCAGACUGGAUGAAAAUAGGACACUUUUGAACUGCAAAGAAAAUUGCAAGGAGGAAGGACCAUGCAAAUGUCACAACUUCACUUGUUCGGUGAAAAUUACUUUGAAGAAGUGCAUUGAAAUUGGCCUUGGCAAACUCAACUUAAACCAAACUGGAAAUAUCAUCGAAAGACUGUCGGAGCUGGAUUUAAAGCCUGAAAAAGAAAGAAAAGAGAUAUACCAAAGUCUCGCACUAAAAAAGUCUCCUAAAAGCUUCCUCAAUGAAAUUGAGAAGCUCUAUCAAAGAUUAAAUGCAGAAAAAUCUGGUUGAUAUUUAUAUUUAUGUUUAAUUUAUAUCAUAUUUAUGUAUUUAUUCAUUUAUUUAUUCUUAUUGGUAUGAAUGGUUCCAACUGUCAAAUGUAAAGAUUAUACAAUAAAAUCAAAUUUCAAAUCUAAUGUAUGUGUUAAAAUAGUCUCAUUACAAAACUUUUACAUUUACAUUUAGUCAUUUAGCAGACGCUUUUAUCCAAAGUGACUUACAAAUGAUGACAAUAGAAGAAAUCAAAACCAACAAAAGGGCAAUAAUAUGUAAGUGCUGUGACAAGACUCGGUUAGCCUAACGCAGUACACGUAGCAAAGUUUUUUUUGUUUGUUUUCUUUUUAUAAGAAAAAAAAGAAAAUAGAUUAGAAAAAGAAUAGAGAAUACUAGUGUCAGAGGCUCUCUCUCUUUCUUUUUAAGAAGACCAGUAGUAAGAAAAGAAAUAGAAUAUAGAGUGCAAAUGUUAGAGGGUCAAGAAGUGGCACAGAAGUGCUUCUGAAGUGGCGUUUAGAUGACUUUACACAGACUGUUUAAUGAUUUUUAUAGGUGGCAUAAAUGCAUUUACACAGCAAUUACAAACUUUGAAACUAGGGGCUGAGGUGGGUCUUCGCAGGCAUGGCAUUGCACUUUUACACUGAUUUUUUGAGCAGCAAUAGAGCAGCCUUAAACAGUUUGGUAAAGACAUCUAAAUGCAACUUCAGAAGCACUUCUGUGCCACUUUUGCGGAGUAAAAUUUGCAUUAGUAAUGAGGUAAGCUAAAUAAAGCAAGAAAACUAG
Cyprinus carpio carpio is the source of this 1170-nucleotide long non-coding RNA. Lineage: Eukaryota; Metazoa; Chordata; Actinopteri; Cypriniformes; Cyprinidae. The record is from Ensembl.